AUUGUACGCUGGCGGCAGGCUUAACACAUGCAGUCGAACGGUAACAGGGAUUAGCUUGCUAUUUGCUGACGAGUGGCGGACGGGUGAGUAUGCUUGGGAAUCUUGCUUAUGGAGGGGGAUAACUACGGGAAACUGUAGCAAUACCGCGUAAAAUCUUCGGAUUAAAGGGUGGGAACUUUUCGGGCCACCUGCCAUGAGAUGAGCCCCAAGUGGGAUUAGGUAGUUGGUUAGGUAAAGGCUGACCCAAGCCGACGAUCUCUAGCUUGGUCUGAGAGGAUGACCAGCCACACUGGAACUGAGACACGGUCCAGACUCCUACGGGAGGCAGCAGUGGGGAAUAUUGCACAAUGGGGGGAACCCUGAUGCAGCCAUGCCGCGUGAAUGAAGAAGGCCUUCGGGUUGUAAAGUUCUUUCGGUGACGAGGAAGGUGUAUGUUAAUAGCAUAUCAAAUUGACGUUAAUCACAGAAGAA
RNAcentral lists this ribosomal RNA (471 nucleotides) under Haemophilus sp. oral taxon 035. RNAcentral's name for it is "bacterial SSU rRNA". It matches the Rfam family "Bacterial small subunit ribosomal RNA", at positions 30 to 489 of the family's 1533-position model. The record is from RNAcentral. Lineage: Bacteria; Pseudomonadati; Pseudomonadota; Gammaproteobacteria; Pasteurellales; Pasteurellaceae.